Chlorocebus sabaeus (green monkey) is the source of this 1730-nucleotide non-coding RNA. The record is from RefSeq and is a predicted model, not a curated record. NCBI's taxonomy places the organism in Eukaryota, Metazoa, Chordata, Mammalia, Primates, Cercopithecidae.
AGGAAAAAAAAGAAAAAGAAAGCUGAGGUGCUAAACAACUAGUGUGACAGGGCUAGUUCCAAUUAUUCCAAUGCAUACUGUCUCCUGAGUCUAUAAUCAUAACUAAACCAUUUCAGGCAGAGAGAAAAAGGGAAUAUAGUGGCAAGAAAGCAAAUCACAUAGCAAGAGAGUGACAGAGGGUAAAUCACUACAUCAACAGAGAGUGAUGUAGCAAAGGGAGGAAGGGCUGGGAAAACUGCAUGAGGGCGGAUUACAGAAAGCUCUGAAUGCCAUUCUUGGUAGGAUAAGAUGUGAGAACUGAACCCCAACUGAGAAGGUGCCAAUUAAUUCAGGUGGCACUGACCUGUGAGGCUGAGGAGGUCUUAAUCACCAGAACACUAAAUGCUCAUUAUCCAACCUUUUAAUUAGCAAAGAAACUACCCCAUCUGGAAAAGUUUUCAGCAAAGAACCAAGAUUUGAUCAUGCUGUUAAGGAAAAAAAAAAAGAAAAAGAAAAGAAAUAAACAAUCCUCUGAUCUCUCCCAGGCAACAAAUCUUGUAUUUCAGAUGUAUGUUUUCUUAUCUUCCAGGUCCCCAUUGGAGAGAAAAUGAGGAAAAGGAAGAACAGAUGGGAAUAAAAGCAGAAGGAAUCAUUUCCAUUCCCCAUGGAGCAGAAUUUUGGAAAGCAAAUUCAACAAAUUUUGCAAGGUACUGGGGGAAAUGUGGCUACUACACGACAUAAAAGACAACUUUCCUGUCUUCUAAGAACUUACAGUUUAGCAUGAAAGUGCAACAUGGUUUUGUUGAAUAGUGUGUGGCUAUCCAGGACUGGAAGAAAGCAAAACACCAAUCAAUAAGAGCAACAAAACUGGAAAUCCACAAGACGUGUGGCCUGAAACAUGUAUAAUUUUUAAUUCACAAUUUACUUAAAAGAUUGAUUCUCCCAAAACAAAGAACUGAAAUAAGUGAUUAAUUGAAGUCUUACUGUGCAGAAAAAUGAAUACAGUGCUGAUAUGUCUUUAAGAUUUCUCCACAACCAACAGAGAAGAAAAGGAACUUCUGGACCCUGAAGUAAAUCUUAUUUUUAUCUGGGGGAUUAUUUGGACAUAGCUGCUACAGCCAAAAAAAGAUUAACCCAUACUAUGCCCACCUCCCACAGGCUCUACAACCAUUCCAAAGAAAAACAGGAAUUGGCUAACUGUAUUGCUCUAUUUAUGCCAUCUUUUUACCUAAAUACUAUGACUAACUUGAAGUAUGGUUUCCAAAAACUUCUUAUGAGGAAACAGAUAAAUAUGGAACGAUGUAUGCAGAAAGAUGUUUACUGCAGCAAUGCCUAAGAUAAAGACUCAAAACAAUAUAAACAUCCAUCAGGAGACGACUGCUUAAGUAUAUUACAGUAACACACUGAACUAUCAUCCAGCCAAUAAACAGAGUAAGUUAGAUGUACUAACAAGAAACGAUGUCCAUCUGUUGCCCAUGUGUCCAUUAAAUAUUGCUAAGAAAAAGUAGGAUGCAAAUAGUAUGUAUAACAUGAACUAAUUUUUAACUUUGUAUGUAUGUUUGAGAAAGAGAAAAGCAUAAAAAUGGUGAAUCAAAUUAACAGUGAUUUUUCUGUGGAAGACUGGGAUUGUAGUGAAUCUUUCAUUUUCUCCCUAUGCACUUCUGAAUGGCUUGGAUUUUGUUACAAUGAGUAUGUACUGUUUUUAUAACUAGAAAAACGAUAUUUCUAUCAGAAAAGGAAGAUAAAGAGAC